UUACCUGAUAAAUUUCGAAAAAUAUUAAGUCUACAGCCCAUUUUGCGUUACAAUCUAUACAACCCUUCGCCCCGGUGUUAUCCAUACAAAUAAAUUAAUUGACAGUUUCUUCUGUACACGUGUCCACUCCUCCUUUCUUCUGUUCUCUCUUCAUCUCUUCUCUCUCCUCCCUCCCAUACCAAAUAUGAAUUUUAUGAUUACAUCUUAGGAAGAUAUCAAAUCUUUCCAAAUCCACCUCGAGAAGGUACCAAAUCUAUACAAUGAUUACACCUUGGAAAGGUACUAAAUCUUUCCAAAUCUACCUCGACAAGGUACCAAAUCUAUCCAAUGAUUACACCUCGGGAAGGUAAUAAAUCUUUCCAAAUCCACCUCGGAAAGAUACCAAAUCUAUCCAAUUUUUUUUUUUUUGACAAAAUUCUCAUUUCCUUAUCUCGGGAAGGGACAAUUCUCAACUUGAUUCGGGUGUGUAUAUAGGAGAACCUAUACUCAUGAGGUUAGAACCUUGAAAAAAUUUUCUAGUUGCCUCUUCUUCCUCUGUUCCUCAUGCACUAAACUUCACUCUCUUUAUACUAAGUUUUAUAUUUCUUUUGUAUUUUUUCCUGGAUCUCUGCGAGCUACUUGGGUUUAUGUUGUACCAUCCUGAAGACGUGCCGACGAGGUGGAAGGUGAUCGUUGUAUCGCUAGAAGUGUUUGACGGAACCUAUACAAAUAAACUAAUUGACAGUUCCUUCUGUAUACGUGUCCACUCCUCCUUUUUCCUCUUCUCUCUUCAUCUCUUCUCUCUCCUCCUUCCCAUACCAAAUAUGAAUUUCAUGAUUACACCUCGGGAAGAUACCAAAUCUUUCCAAAUCCACCUCGGGAAGGUACCAAAUCUAUGCAAUGAUUACACCUCGAAAAGGUACCAAAUCUUUUCAAAUCCACCUCGAGAAGGUACCAAAUCUAUCAAAUGAUUACACCUCGGAAAUGUUACAAAUCUUUCCAAAUCCAUCUCGGGAAUGUACCAAAUCUAUCCAAAUUUUUUUUGACAAAAUUCUCAUUUCCUUAUCUCAGGAAGGGACAAAAUUCUCAACUUGAUUCGGGUGUAUAUAUAGGAGAACCUAUACUCAUGAGGUUAGAACCUUGAAAAAUUUUUCUAAUUGCUUAUUCUUCCUCUGUCCCUCAUGCACUAUACUUCACUUCUCUUUACACUAAGUUUUACAUUUCUUUUAUAUUUUUUACUGGAUCUCUGAGAGCUACUUGGGUUUAUGUUGUACCACCCUGAAGAUGUGUUGACGAGGUGGAAGGUGGUCGUUGUAUCGUUAGGAGUGAUUGGCGGAACCUAUACAAAUAAACUAAUUGACAGUUCAUUCUAUACACGUGUCCGCUCCUCCUUUCUGCAACUCCUCCUUUCUCCUCUUUUCUCUUCAUCUUUCCUCUCUCCUCCCUCCUAUACCAAAUAAAUAUGAAAUUCAUGAUUACACCUUGGGAAGGUACCAAAUCUUUCCAAAUCCAUCUCGGAAAGGUACCAAAUCUAUGCAAUGAUUACACCUCAGAAAGGUACCAAAUCUUUUCAAAUCCACCUCGACAAGGUACCAAAUCUAUCCAAUAAUUACACCUCAGGAAGGUACCAAAUCU
This 1614-nucleotide long non-coding RNA is filed under the name Ananas comosus (pineapple). RNAcentral's name for it is "long non-coding RNA (ACOM_LNC020302)". Lineage: Eukaryota; Viridiplantae; Streptophyta; Magnoliopsida; Poales; Bromeliaceae. The record is from RNAcentral.